Molecule: ribosomal RNA, 433 nt
Filed under: uncultured bacterium
Lineage: Bacteria
Description: partial 16S ribosomal RNA
Rfam family: Bacterial small subunit ribosomal RNA
Source: RNAcentral
AACGAACGCUGGCGGCAUGCCUAACACAUGCAAGUCGAACGAUGCUUUCGUGCAUAGUGGCGCACGGGUGUGGAACGCGUGGGAAUCUGCCCUUGGGUUCGGAAUAACAGUGAGAAAUUGCUGCUAAUACAGGAUGAUGUCUUCUGACCAAAGAUUUAUCGCCCAGGGAUGAGCCCGAGUAGGAUUAGCUAGUUGGUAGGGUAAUGGCCUAUCAAGGCGAGGAUCCUUAGCUGGUCUGAGAGGAUGAUCAGCCACACUGGGGCUGAGACGCGGUCCGGACUCUUACGCAAGGGAGGAGAGGGUAAUAUAGCACAAUGGGCGCAGGCAUGAACGAGCAAUGCCGGGAAAGUGCUGAAGUCGUUAAGGUAGUAAAGCUGUUUUACACGGGACGAUAAUGACGGUACCGGGAGAAUAAGCUCCGGCUAACUCCGUG